This is a long non-coding RNA of Scylla paramamosain (green mud crab), 601 nucleotides long. RefSeq lists it as uncharacterized. The record is from RefSeq and is a predicted model, not a curated record. NCBI's taxonomy places the organism in Eukaryota, Metazoa, Arthropoda, Malacostraca, Decapoda, Portunidae. The transcript is spliced from 3 exons.
GGCGGGUAGUGAGGACCGAGGAGCUAAGCAGGCAGGAUGCACGUCUCCACCACCACCACCAUCCUCACCAUCACCCUGCUAUGCUUGACCGUUCCCCUCACCACCACCACCACCACCACCACUACUGACGAAGGGAGGGCAGCGCGGAUCCUGGGUAUCAUCACCACUACGCAGGUGACGCAGCUGGCCACCACCACCAUCACCGCCCUCUCCACUUGCUUCACGGCAGCCACCAAUGCGCCGGUCUGUCUUGGGCGGCGGCGGCGGCUGGCGGUGAAGACUCUACUAAACAUACGUAAACAAGACGAGAGACAACCACGAGGCCUCUUUGGAAGCCUAACGGACGAUGAGCGAGGGAAGCCACAAGAGGAAGAGGAGGAGGAAGGCAGGAGGAAAGGAAGGCUAAGAUUCACCGUGUGGAAAUCGACCUUCACUACACUGACUAUCACCAGCACGUCAGCUCUCGGGGGCACCACCAUCACCGCCUCCGCCCUGUGUGUCACUCCUGGCUACUCCAGCACCUGCUUCCUCGGCUGAGAGAGAGAGAGAGAGAGAGAGAGAGAGAGAGAGAGAGAGAGAGAGAGAGAGAGAGAGAGAGAGA